UGGGGAAUAUUGCACAAUGGGGGAAACCCUGAUGCAGCGACGCCGCGUGAGCGAAGAAGUAUUUCGGUAUGUAAAGCUCUAUCAGCAGGGAAGAAGAAUGACGGUACCUGACUAAGAAGCACCGGCUAAAUACGUGCCAGCAGCCGCGGUAAUACGUAUGGUGCAAGCGUUAUCCGGAUUUACUGGGUGUAAAGGGAGCGCAGGCGGUGCGGCAAGUCUGAUGUGAAAGCCCGGGGCUCAACCCCGGUACUGCAUUGGAAACUGUCGUACUAGAGUGUCGGAGGGGUAAGUGGAAUUCCUAGUGUAGCGGUGAAAUGCGUAGAUAUUAGGAGGAACACCAGUGGCGAAGGCGGCUUACUGGACGAUCACUGACGCUGAGGCUCGAAAGCGUGGGGAGCAAACAGGAUUAGAUACCCUGGUAGU
Molecule: ribosomal RNA, 423 nt
Filed under: uncultured Roseburia sp.
Lineage: Bacteria; Bacillati; Bacillota; Clostridia; Lachnospirales; Lachnospiraceae
Description: bacterial SSU rRNA
Rfam family: Bacterial small subunit ribosomal RNA
Source: RNAcentral